CGACAGCACCGCGGCAUGAUUCUGGCUGCUGCGCUGCCUUUUCAAAACACGCUGUUCAGCACGGCUCAUCUGGUGAUGUGAGGAGUUCACAGAUCCGGUCUGAAGCCUGCUGAACGGCUCACAGCCUGAUAGUGUCAAAUAUUUUGACGAUGAUUUAAAAUCAGGAUGAUCCACAACAACCGGUGUCAGAGGCGUCCCGGAGCUGCUGAUGUGCUGCCAAGCAACCAUACACAGUCGAGCCCUCGAGGCUAACCAGGUUGAUGCACCACACAAGUCUCCUGUUUGUUUACGUCUGCUUCCCCAUGAGAUCAUGUGAGAAGCAUCACAUGUGGACGAUGGGCGGUGUGGAUCAUACAGCGGCAGCUGUCACGAUAUAACACGAGACGCAGGUCCAAUAAAGUCUGGAAGAGCUGCAAGAUUAAAUAAAUGCAUCUCUAUUUAAGUUUUCACGCUUUGUGGGCCGAACGACUCGGAAGAUUCAGACAAGUUUAAACUCAGAAAGUCGAACUUUUCAUGGGACAAACAGAGCUCCAUCUCCAACACUGAGCCCAGGUUUCAUGAUACGUCCAUGAGGAGGGACAAGAGGCGUCCCUAGAUGUUCUUGAGAAGGAUGUCUUCACAAUAAAACAUAAUAUUUAAUAAAUCACACAGCCAAUUUAACAGACAGCGGACCACGAGCGUCGUCCCUGUGAGGCUUUAACAUCCAGCAGAGGAAAAUAAUUGACAUCCAUCUGUAAGGAAAGCAUAAGUUGUAUAUAUCCUCAACACUGCAUGUGCUGGAAUUCCAGAAAGAUGAUCUUCUGCUGACUUUAAUA
Long non-coding RNA from Acanthopagrus latus (yellowfin seabream), 815 nucleotides. RefSeq lists it as uncharacterized. The record is from RefSeq and is a predicted model, not a curated record. Lineage: Eukaryota; Metazoa; Chordata; Actinopteri; Spariformes; Sparidae. The transcript is spliced from 2 exons.